RNAcentral lists this ribosomal RNA (522 nucleotides) under uncultured bacterium. RNAcentral's name for it is "bacterial SSU rRNA". It matches the Rfam family "Bacterial small subunit ribosomal RNA", at positions 373 to 886 of the family's 1533-position model. The record is from RNAcentral.
GGGCGAAAGCCUGAUCCAGCAAUGCCGCGUGCAGGAUGAAGGCCUUCGGGUUGUAAACUGCUUUUGUACGGAACGAAAAGCUUCGGGUUAAUACCCUGGAGCCAUGACGGUACCGUAAGAAUAAGCACCGGCUAACUACGUGCCAGCAGCCGCGGUAAUACGUAGGGUGCAAGCGUUAAUCGGAAUUACUGGGCGUAAAGCGCGUGUAGGCGGUCGGGCAAGUCAGAUGUGAAAGCCUUCCGCUCAACGGAAGAAGUGCAUUUGAAACUACCCGGCUGGAGUACGGGAGAGGAGAGUGGAAUUCCCGGUGUAGAGGUGAAAUUCGUAGAUAUCGGGAGGAACACCAGUGGCGAAGGCGGCUCUCUGGUCCGAUACUGACGCUGAGACGCGAAAGCGUGGGGAGCAAACAGGAUUAGAUACCCUGGUAGUCCACGCCGUAAACGAUGGGCACUAGGUGUAGGAGGUAUUGACCCCUUCUGUGCCGAAGUUAACGCAUUAAGUGCCCCGCCUGGGGAGUACGGC